CGCAGCAACGCCGCGUGGAGGAUGAAGGUUUCGGAUCGUAAACUCCUGUUGCUCGGGACGAAAAGCCUCGACCUAACACGUCGAGGUCUGACGGUACCGAGUGAGGAAGCCCCCGGCUAACUCUGUGCCAGCAGCCGCGGUAAUACAGAGGGGGCAAGCGUUGUUCGGAAUUACUGGGCGUAAAGGGCGCGUAGGCGGCCCGCUAAGUCGAACGUGAAAUCCCCGAGCUCAACUCGGGAACUGCGUCCGAUACUGGCGGGCUUGAAUCCGGGAGAGGGAUGCGGAAUUCCAGGUGUAGCGGUGAAAUGCGUAGAUAUCUGGAGGAACACCGGUGGCGAAGGCGGCAUCCUGGACCGGCAUUGACGCUGAGGCGCGAAAGCUAGGGGAGCAAACGGGAUUAGAUACCCCGGUAGUCCUAGCCCUAAACGAUGAAUGCUUGGUGUGGCGGGUAUCGAUCCCUGCCGUGCCGAAGCUAACGCAUUAAGCAUUCCGCCUGGGGAGUACGGUCGCAAGGCUG
This 517-nucleotide ribosomal RNA is filed under the name uncultured Acidobacteriota bacterium. RNAcentral describes it as "bacterial SSU rRNA". It matches the Rfam family "Bacterial small subunit ribosomal RNA", at positions 387 to 896 of the family's 1533-position model. The record is from RNAcentral. Lineage: Bacteria; Pseudomonadati; Acidobacteriota.